This 490-nucleotide ribosomal RNA is filed under the name uncultured bacterium. RNAcentral describes it as "partial 16S ribosomal RNA". It matches the Rfam family "Bacterial small subunit ribosomal RNA", at positions 30 to 507 of the family's 1533-position model. The record is from RNAcentral.
AUUGAACGCUGGCGGCAGGCCUAACACAUGCAAGUCGAACGGUAACAGGAAGCAGCUUGCUGCUUUGCUGACGAGUGGCGGACGGGUGAGUAAUGUCUGGGAAACUGCCUGAUGGAGGGGGAUAACUACUGGAAACGGUAGCUAAUACCGCAUAACGUCGCAAGACCAAAGAGGGGGACCUUCGGGCCUCUUGCCAUCGGAUGUGCCCAGAUGGGAUUAGCUAGUAGGUGGGGUAACGGCUCACCUAGGCGACGAUCCCUAGCUGGUCUGAGAGGAUGACCAGCCACACUGGAACUGAGACACGGUCCAGACUCCUACGGGAGGCAGCAGUGGGGAAUAUUGCACGAUGGGCGCAAGCCUGAUGCAGCCAUGCCGCGUGUAUGAAGAAGGCCUUCGGGUUGUAAAGUACUUUCAGCGGGGAGGAAGGGAGUAAAGUUAAUACCUUUGCUUAUUGACGUUACCCGCAGAAGAAGCACCGGCUAACUCCGUG